This 519-nucleotide ribosomal RNA is filed under the name Prinia bairdii. RNAcentral describes it as "partial 16S ribosomal RNA". It matches the Rfam family "Bacterial large subunit ribosomal RNA", at positions 1849 to 2575 of the family's 2925-position model. Lineage: Eukaryota; Metazoa; Chordata; Aves; Passeriformes; Cisticolidae. The record is from RNAcentral.
AAGGUGAUGCCUGCCCGGUGACUUUGUUCAACGGCCGCGGUAUCCUAACCGUGCAAAGGUAGCGCAAUCAAUUGUCCCAUAAAUCGGGACCCGUAUGAAUGGCUAAACGAGGUCUUAACUGUCUCUUACAGGCAAUCGGUGAAAUUGAUCUCCCUGUGCAAAAGCAGGGAUAAACCCAUAAGACGAGAAGACCCUGUGGAACUUUAAAAACAGCAACCACCCCAAAAUACAUACACCCCCACUCCGGGCUCACUUAUCCAUUGGGACGAUGGUCUGCAUUUUUUCGGUUGGGGCGACCUUGGAGCAAAACAAAACCUCCAAACAUGGGACAAUCCCUCCAGACUAAGAGCCACUACUCAAAGUGCUAAUAGCCACCAGAUCCAAUAUAAUUGAUCAAUGGACCAAGCUACCCCAGGGAUAACAGCGCAAUCUCCUCCGAGAGUCCAUAUCGACGGGGAGGUUUACGACCUCGAUGUUGGAUCAGGACAUCCUAGUGGUGCAGCCGCUACUAAGGGUUCG